Molecule: long non-coding RNA, 4826 nt
Organism: Podarcis raffonei (Aeolian wall lizard)
Lineage: Eukaryota; Metazoa; Chordata; Lepidosauria; Squamata; Lacertidae
Exons: 5
Source: RefSeq, a predicted model, not a curated record
GAGAAGCUAUGAGCUAUGCCAUGCAGGGCCUCCCAAGAUGGACAGGUCAUAGUGGAGGGUUUUGACUAAACGUGAUCCACCUGGAGCAGGAACCGGCAAGCCACUCCAGUAUCCCUGCCAAGAAAACUCCAUGGACAAAAGCAACAGGAUCAACACUUGCUUUGGUGCAAUUCAGAGUAGUGAAAAAUCCAAAGAAUAGCUACAUUUUGAUCAGCCGCUCUUCCAAACAUCUACAUUCCCCAAGACACUGUGAAGUGUUUUGAGCACUAAACAAGCACAGUAUAAAUAUUGUUGCUUGCUACUGGCCGAAACUUAAUCUGAGACAGGGGAAGUGAGAAACAGGAGUGAGAAACAGAGGGUUGUAUUCAGUGCUGAACAGACAGACUUCCACUCAGACAAUGGUAUUUUGCUGCUGCCGCCACCUCCUCUCUUCUUGCACACCUGCAAAAUUUGGUCCAGAGCAUCUCCCAGCAGUUUUGAGGGAAGCCAGAUGAACCUCAACAGGGAGGGCAUUCCACAAACAGGAAGCCACCACCAAGAAGGUCCUGUCACAGAAAGUGCCAACUGGGGGGACACCAGCACCACCAAGACCUCCCUUGACAAUCGUGAAGCUUGAGAAAUUUUGAGGAGAUGAUCUCUAUAGUGUCCCAAGUGGUUGUUGGAAUGAACACCUGAAGCUCACCGGCAGCCAGCGCAGCGAUUUCAGGACUGGUGACACGUGGUCCCAUCAGACUGCCCCACUCAGCAAUCUAGCAGCCAUAUUCUGCUCUACUUUUAGGGCUUAGGGAGGGUUGCAGAAUUACAUUGGCACCUGGUACCCUUUUCUUCCCUCGUGGCUCUUCAAAGGCACGAACCAGCUGAACCAGAUGAACAAAGGCAGGGGUGUUCAGCUAUGUUCCCAGCUGUCUUAUCCUCCCCAGUAUCCCUUUGGAUGUUUUAAGUGUCUGCACCCACUGAAACAUUCCUUCGAGCGUAGGGAGCAGGUUGUCUGUGAAAGAAAUAGUGGUGAAGUCAGUUUUGCUUCGUUCAUUGGAAUGCAAUGGGAUGCCCUAGUGGGUGGGAAAGCAAUGCAUUGGUUCUCGCCCACCGCUAAAGACCGGAACAGUCAUGUGGAAUACAGGAACCUAGGAAGCUGCCCACUGGUUCAUCUAGCUCAGCAUUGUACACACUGACUCUUCAGGAUUCCAAACAGGGGAUACUACCUGGAGAUGCUGGGAAUUUAACCUGGGGCCUUCUUUACCACUGAGCUACAGCCAUUCUCCAGCACCAUCUUGCUGCAGACAGCACAGCAAGCAAUGGACUGGACUAUUCUCUCUCUCAUUUGGAACUAGGGUGACCAGACUGAGAGGAGGGCAGGGCUCCCAUGCUUUUCAUAGCUAUGCUAAAAAGGGUUUGGGGCCACCUUGCCUUUAAGAAGGUGGUGGUGCAGAAAUCCACACAGCUUUAAAAAUGCAGGAGCUCUGUCUUCUCUUACACACCUCAACAUGCAUUGAGAAGCAUUAAUAUUUGUGAUGUGCUCCCCACAUCUCCCAAGGAUGCAGGGAAAGAGCUCCCUGGAGGUUGGCUUCCUCUUGGAAAGGAGCUCCCUGGAGAUGGAUGGUGUGUCAGCAAUGCCUGGCUUAUUUACCAAUAUCCCAAUCCCAGAAGAGCCUAGAUGGAGGCAAGCAGCAUCAGCAUUCCUGGCAUGCAGCAGAUCUCCAGAGAGAGGUAAUUUGCACACUAUACAUUGAAAGCACAUUUAAAAGAGAUCCCUCCCCCAGGGAAAAGUUUCGUAGGGACUGUAGUUUACCCUUCACAGAGCUACAGUUCUCAGCACCUUUCAACAACUACAGUUCCCAGGACUCUUCAGGGUGGCGGGAGAAAUGUGCUUUCAAUGUUUGGUUUCGAUGCAGCUGGAGACCCCCAGCAACCCAAGAUUCUUUUGGCCUUCCCUUAACUCUGUAUUUUUCCAUCUCUCCAAAAGCUUUCCCGAAAGCUCUCCCUUUCUGAUAAGACUGCUCAGGUCUAUUUAGAGUUGGAAGGGACCCUGAGGAUCAUCUUUUUUAAAAAAAAUCUUAUUUAUUGAUUUUUCACAAAAAAAAAACUUUACAAAUUUUAGCAUAAAACAAAAGUUGCUUUAUCCAUUGACCUCCCACCCUCCCCUUCAAUGGUUUCCAUAUUUACCCCUUGAAUGCUGCAUAUUUUGGGGACCCUGAAGAUCCUAUAAUCCAACCUCCUGCAAUGCAGGAAUAUGCAGCUGUUCCACGUGGGGAUCGAACCUUCAGCCUUGGCAUUAUCAGCACCGUGCUCUGAGCUAUAGAGUCUCUCCAGCCCCUUGGCUUUGGGUGAACUAAUUCAGAGGUCAAGGAUUUUGGAACAUAGGAAGCUGCCUUCUACAGAGUCAGACCACUGGUCCUUUUAGCUCAGCACCAACCACCGGCUGUCAGCAGCUCUGUGGGAAUGCAGGUAGCGGACACUCCCAGCCCUACCUGGAGAUUGAACUUGGGACCUUCUGCAUGCAGAGCAGAUGCUCAACCUCUGAGCUACGACCCUUUCGUUAUGCCCCCCACUCAUUAAAUCUGGAGGGGUCCCAAGCAUAAUUCAAGUAGCAAUUGUUUUAACUACUUGCAAUGUAAAGGCAGAAAGACAUGUUUCAAGAGCUCUCCAUUGCUGAGACGUGCAGUACUGAUGUCCUGACACUGUUACGUGUCCUGAUGCAAUUGUGCUUUUAACAGAUCCAUGCUAGCAGCUGGACAUGUACUGAUAUGAACAUACACAGCGUAAACGAUGUCAGUAAUUAAGUGAGCUUAAUUGGAUUGUGUGCUGUAUGUGGGGCAUUGUUACUAUGUGUUGUUAUUUGGGGUAUGUAGAGAGGAAAGGGACCCUCGCUGUUCCCAUUUUGAGUGGCAGCCCUGAGUUUGUAUAUUAGCAAUUCUGCCCUAAGCAAGGGUUCACACUCCUAUUUUCCUUUAGGAUAAUCAAAUAAUUGUUUUCUCUUCAACUAUGUUCUUUUUAUUAAGCAUUUCAGAGAGGAAGGCACAAUUGACCUUCAAACAAGCUGAACAACAACAAUAACAAUUGAAGACAUUUUUGUUCCAACCAACUUCUCCAGCUGGAUGAAAAGGUCUCAGCCUUAGGUGCUCAUUUUGAAUUGUUUUUAAACCCAUCUUUAGCUGUUUUUAAACUAUUUUUAGCUGUUUUUAUGGUAUGCUUGUGAAUCACUUUGAGACGACUAGAUAAGGCAAUUGCUUAUUUAAAAAGCACCUUUUAUUUAUUAAAAUGUACUUAUUUGAUUCAAAUAUGAAUCACUUCCCAUAAAGUAUCUCAGAGUGAUUUCAUAAUAAAAACAUCUGCAAUAAAAACAAUGACACAAUUUUAUAUAAAAAUAGUUAUAACAAGGUAAAGAACAAUUUAAAAUGCUAUCAUGUAUUAAGCCUAACAACAACAACCACUGUACUAGAAAACAAGUAUAAAAAACAAAUCAGACAUAAAAUGAUAAUCAUGAGAUAACGUUCUUGAAUAUUAUGAAUUAUCACAUCCUUCCAGAAUGUAGUGUGGGACUGAGCAAAAAGUUGGUCAACUGGAUUUUUGUGGUGGCGUAUGAUAUGAAUAGGAACCAAUGCUCAAUCGAGGGAUGAUAAUCACAUUCUUUACAAAGGAGCAAGGUAUGGGCCAGACGCUGGACAAAAUGUUUUUUAAAGUGGCAGAAGGUUAGCUCCAAGUAAACAGGCUACUAAUGACUCCCUCUGUUUUACAAGGGUAAUUCUCCCCUGUGUUACUCAGCGAGGACCAGAUUUACAGUUGCACUAAACAAGGGAUAUAAGAAGAGGCCGAAAGAAAGGGGUACCCCUGCUGUAGUGUAAUUACUGGGGAGUUUCCUAGUGUGGGAAGCAAGUGGCAUUCUGUUGCCUGCACUGAAUUCCUUUAGAACUCUUUGGAGUAGAAAAAAACACUUGAGCCGAGCUGGAGAGCAAAAAGGGGAAAUCUAUUUCCAUGCUGUUUUCAGUCUGUUUUCACAUACUUGAGUAAUUGUGCUUGGUUGAUGUUUCGGUUCUAAGUGUUGUUUAUGUUUUUAAGUUGCCCUGUGGCAGGGUUGAAAUUGCAGAACUUUUAUGCCAGGUGCACCUUUUUGCAUGCCGCACCUGUUCAGAUUCCUUUUCUUAUUACACAGUUAUUAAAGCUACAGGAGCCCUAUCCUUCGUUGCAUCUGGUCACCCUCCAGAACAGAUGCCAGCUCAACCUGUUCUUCCUGUUGCCGGAGCAGUGUGGGUGGAGUUCCUUUUGAAGUUCCCCAGAACUGGAGUCAGGGCUUUUCCAGCAAAGUGGACUCUGAGCCAGAGCGUCCUUUAAUAAGCAGUUUGUGCUUCAUUUUCCAAGCCUUAUCUGCCUCUGCCAUUUAGAAUGAGCUGCUCCAAAAUGCGUUCUGUGAUAAUUAUUAAAGUAUCAAUUAGCCGCCUUUUGAAAAUUGUUGUUUAAAUGUGACAGUGAAGCUUCAUACAGCUAAACCGCAAGAGUCCACUGUAUUAAGAUGCAGAGCCACAAAUACUUCUGAGUCUGUUUAGACAGAAGCAUGCAACUUUGAUUUCAAUGUGAGAGCUCAGGUGUAGGAUAUGAAAGAUUAUUGUUUUUGUUUACAGGUGUGCGCAGGAUUUCUUUUUUAAAAAAAAUAUUUUUUAUUGAAUGAUUUUAUGUUACAAAAAACAAUACAUCCAUACUACCACUGAAUAUAAUUAAGAAAUAAAAAUUACAUACAUUGAUAUUUAGUUUGUUAUUUGUUAUUUACCGUCUUAUUUCCUCCCAAACAUUGCAUACAACAACACACAUAUGUGCAGACACCCACACACCCA